UGAUAUUUUUGUGUGCCAAUU
This 21-nucleotide non-coding RNA is filed under the name Caenorhabditis elegans. Lineage: Eukaryota; Metazoa; Nematoda; Chromadorea; Rhabditida; Rhabditidae. The record is from RNAcentral.